CACGUAGGGUGCGAGCGUUGUCCGGAAUUAUUGGGCGUAAAGAGCUCGUAGGCGGUUUGUCGCGUCUGCCGUGAAAGUCCGGGGCUCAACUCCGGAUCUGCGGUGAGUACGGGCAGACUAGAGUGAUGUAGGGGAGACUGGAAUUCCUGGUGUAGCGGUGAAAUGCGCAGAUAUCAGGAGGAACACCGAUGGCGAAGGCAGGUCUCUGGGCAUUAACUGACGCUGAGGAGCGAAAGCAUGGGGAGCGAACAGG
Molecule: ribosomal RNA, 253 nt
Filed under: uncultured bacterium
Lineage: Bacteria
Description: partial 16S ribosomal RNA
Rfam family: Bacterial small subunit ribosomal RNA
Source: RNAcentral